GAUGAACGCUGGCGGCGUGCCUAAUACAUGCAAGUCGAGCGAACAGACGAGGAGCUUGCUCCUCUGACGUUUGCGGCGGACGGGUGAGUAACACGUGGAUAACCUCCCUAUAAGACUGGGAUAACUUCGGGAAACCGGAGAUAAUACCGGAUAAUAUAUUGAAAAGCAUGGGUCAAUAGUGAAAGACGGUUUUGCUGUCACUUAUAGAUGGAUCCGCGCCGCAUUAGCUAGUUGGUAAGGUAACGGCCUACCAAGGCAGCGAUGAGUAGCCGGUGUGAGAGGACGACCAGCCAGACUGGGAGUGAGACACGGCCCAGACUCCUAAGGGAGGCAGCAGUGGGGAAUUUUGGACAAUGGGGGAAAGCCUGAUCCAGCAGUGCGGCGUGUGUGAAGAAGGCCUUCGGUUUGUAAAGAACUUUUGUCCGGAAAGAAAUCCUUGGCCCUAAUACGGUCGGGGGAUGACGGUACCGGAAGAAGAAGCACCGGCUAACUACGUG
This 497-nucleotide ribosomal RNA is filed under the name uncultured bacterium. RNAcentral's name for it is "partial 16S ribosomal RNA". It matches the Rfam family "Bacterial small subunit ribosomal RNA", at positions 28 to 507 of the family's 1533-position model. The record is from RNAcentral.